This 118-nucleotide ribosomal RNA is filed under the name Saimiri boliviensis boliviensis (Bolivian squirrel monkey). Lineage: Eukaryota; Metazoa; Chordata; Mammalia; Primates; Cebidae. The record is from RNAcentral.
GCCUAUAGCCAUACCAGCUCGACUGUAGCCAAUCUCUACUGAUCUCAGAAACUAAGCCAGGUCAGGCCUGGUUAGUUCUUGGAUAGGAGACUCCUGGGAUUGCUGAGUGCUGGAGGCG